AGGAAAAGCAUCACAUUUAUUUGACUUUUAUGGGUUUUUUAAAUUUUUUACUUCUGCGCCUCACCUUGUUUAGGCGCGCGCCUGCGUUUUGUGCCUUGCGCCUAGGCUUCAGGAUUGCUGGGCGCCUUAGUGCGCCCUGAGCCUUUAAUAACUAUGCUUAAAGCUUUAUGUUGAUGUAAAUUCUUAGAGGACAUAUUUGCUAAUGGAUAUAAGUUGGUUGUGUGAGAAACAAUAUCUUAUCCUUCAGGCUACUCCAUUAUAGACUUAAAGACUCAUCUUAUCUGGUUCUAAUUCUAUGUCAAGCCAUUUUUUAAAUGGCAUUUCAACUUAAUGUGGUGUUUCAUAUUAACUUGUUUGUUUUUUGCUUUGGGAUGUAACUUUGGCUUCUACAUUUUGUUGCCUUAGCUUUUUCUUGUUCUUUUAUAAAAACUUGUUAUAGUUAUGUUUUUUUGUGUGUGUAUUGGAAGCAUCCUUACAGAGACGAAGAGGUUGGGGGGGGAGGGGG
Molecule: unclassified non-coding RNA, 505 nt
Filed under: Hevea brasiliensis (rubber tree)
Lineage: Eukaryota; Viridiplantae; Streptophyta; Magnoliopsida; Malpighiales; Euphorbiaceae
Source: RNAcentral